This 3013-nucleotide long non-coding RNA is filed under the name Equus caballus (horse). RNAcentral's name for it is "lncRNA (ENSECAG00000037921.2)". Lineage: Eukaryota; Metazoa; Chordata; Mammalia; Perissodactyla; Equidae. The record is from RNAcentral.
UGUGUUCUUGAAUUCUUUUUCUGUUAGUUCGUUAUUAGAAUAUAGAAAAGCUACUGAUUUAUGUAAGUUGAUUUUAUAUCCUGCAACUUUGCUGUAGUUGUUAAUUAUUUCUAAAACUUUUCCAGUGGAUUCUUUGGGAGUUUUCUACAUACAAGAUCAUGUCAUCUGCAAACAGCGAGAGUUUCACUUCUUCCCUCCCUAUUUGGAUUCCUUUUAUUCCUUUCUCUUGUCAAUUGCUCUGGCCAGGACCUCCAGUACUAUGUUAAAUAAGAGUGGUGAUAGAGGGCAUCCUUGACUUGUUCCUGUUUUCAGGGGGAUGAUGCUCAGUUUUUGCCCAUUGAGUAUGAUGUUGACUGUGGGUUUGUCAUAUAUGACCUUUAUUAUGUUGAAGUAAUUUCCUUCUAUCCCCAUUUUGUUCAGAGUUUUUAUCAUAAAUGGCUGUUGGAUCUUGUCAAAUGCUUUCUCUGCAUCUAUUGAGAUGAUCAUGUGUUUUUUAUUCCUCAAUUUGUUGAUGUGGUGUAUCACGUUGAUUGAUUUGUGGAUGUUGAACCAUCCCUGAGUCCCUGGUAUGAAUCCCACUUGAUCAUGAUGUAUGAUCCUUUUGAGGUAUGCUGAAUUCUAGUUGCCAAAAUUUUGUUUAGAAUUUUUACAUCUAUCUUCAUCAGCAAUAUUGGCCUGUAGUUCUCCUUUUUCGUGCUGUCCUUGUCAGGCUUUGGUAUCAGCAUGUUGUUGGCCUUGUAGAAUGUGUUAGGAAGUGUUCCAUCCUCGCUAAUUUUUUGGAAUAGCUUGAAAAGGAUAGGUAUUAAAUCCUCCCUGAAAGUUUGGUAGAAUUCCCCAGGAAAGCCAUCUGGUCCUGGGGUUUUAUUCUUUGGGAUGUUUUUGAUUGCUGUUUCAAUCUCUUUCCUUGUGAUUGGUCUGUUCAGAUUGUCUGCUUCUUCUUGAGUGAGCUUUGGGAGAUUGUAGGAGUCCAAGAAUUUAUUCAUUUCCUCUAGGUUAUCCAUUUUUCUGGCAUAUUGUUUUUUGUAGUAUUCUCUUAUAAUCUGUUGUAUUUCUGCAGAGUCUGUUGUUUUUUCUCCUCUUUCAUUUCUGAUUUUGUUUAUUUGAGCUUUCUCUCUUUUUGUCUUUGUAAGACUGGCUAGGGGGUUGUCAAUUUUAUUUAUCUUCUCAAAGAACCAGCUCUUGGUUUCAUUGAUCCUUUCUACUGCCUUUUUGGUUUCAAUAGCAUUUUUUUAUGCUGUAAUUUUUAUUAUUUCUCUCCUUCUGCUGACUUUGGGCUUUGUUUGUUCUUCUUUUUCUAAUUCAGUUAGGUGUAAUUUGAAGUUGCUUAUUUGGGAUUUUUCCUGUUUCUUAAUGUGUGCUUGCAUUGCAAUGAAUUUCCCUCUUAAUACAGCUUUUGCUGUAUCCCAUAUGAGUUGGUAUGGCAUGUUAUUUUCAUUUGUCUCCAUAUAUUUUUUUAUUUCUUCUUUAAUUUCUUCAAUGAUCCAUUGCUUGUUUAAUAGCAUAUUGUUUAGUCGCCACAUCUUUGUCCCUUUCUCAGCUUUUUUCUUGUAAGUAAUUUCUAGCUUUAUAGCAUUAUGAUUGGAGAGGAUGCUUGUUAUUAUUUCAAUUUUUUUAAAUUUGUAGAGGCUUGCGUUGUUUCCCAACAUAUGGUCUAUCCUUGAGAAUGUUGCAUGUGCACUUGAGAAGAAUGAGUAUUCUGCUGUGUUUGGAUGGAGUGUUCUAUGUAUGUCUAUUAAGUCCAACUAUUUUAGCAUUUCAUUUAAUUCCACUGUUUCUUUGUUGAUUUUCUGCCUGGAUGAUCUGUCCAAUGAUGUGAGUGGGGUGUUGAGGUACCCUACUAUUAUUGUGUUAUUUUUAAUAUCUUCUUUUAGGUUUGUUAAUAGUUGCUUUAUGAACUUUGGUGCUCCUGUGUUGGGUACAUAGAUAUUUAUAAGCGUUAUUUCUUCUUGAUGUAGUGUCCCUUUGAUCAUUAUAUACUGACCCUCUAUGUCUCUCUUUACCUUCCUUAUCUUGAAACCUACUUUGUCUGAUAUAAGUAUUGUGACACCUGCUUUCUUUUUUUUGCCAUUAGCUUGGAUUAUCGUCUUCCACCCCUUCACUCUGAGCCUUUGUUUCUCGUUGGAGCUGAGGUGUGUUUCCUGGAGGCAACAGAUUGUUGGAUGUGGUUCUUUGAUCCAUCUUGCCACUCUCUGUCUUUUUAUUGGAGAGUUCAAUGUGUUUACAUUGAGGGUGAUUAUUGAUGCAUGAGGGCUUAAUCCUGUCAUUUUGUAACUCGUUUUCCGGCAUUACCUUUGUUUCUUGUCCUCUGUGUUUUGGCCUACCCAUUGACAUCUGCAGUUUCUUCUUUCCUUACUUAUUUUUUGUGUCUCUGUUCUGUUUUUAAGGUUAGUGGCUACCCUGAAUUUGUAUUCAGAAUCUUGUGUAUAACAUAGCCCAUUUUCUGGUGGCCUUUUAUUUCCUUAGCCUAAACUGAUUCAGUCCCUUUCCUCUUUCCCUCCUAAGUUAUUAUUGUCAUAUUUUAUUCCAACUUGUGUUGUGAGUUUGUAGUUAAAGUGAUAAGAUUGUCUUUGUUUUUGGUGUUUUCCUUCCUUUUAUCCUAAUAUUUUGUUGUGUAUUUGCUAUCCUAUUCUGAUUCUAUCUAUUCGUCUCCUUACUCUGUGUUGUGACCCCUUCCUCCCCCCUUUUUUUUUCAGGCAUGAGGACCUUCUUGAGGAUUUCUUGUGGGGUGGGGGGUCUCCUGGCUAUGAAGUCCCUUAGCUUUUGUUUGUCUGGGAAAGGUUUAAUUUCUCUCUCAUAUCUGAAGGAUAUUUUUGCUGGAUAGAGUAUUCUUGGCUGAAGAGUGUUAUCUUUUAAAGUUUUGAAUAUGUCAUUCCAAUCUCUCCUAGCUUGUAAGGUUUCUGCAGAGAAAUCCACUGAAAGUUUGAUAGGGGUUCCUUUGUAGGUUAUUUUCUUCUGCCUUGCUGUCCUGAGUAUUCUUUCUUUGUCAUUCACUUUUGCCAUUUUUACUACUAUA